AUGUUACAUCCGGGGCCAAAUUGGAUGGCCGAAUUACCUCUCAACACUGCCCCAACCCAAUCCCUUUAUCCGGUCCAAGCCAUUAUCAACGGCUGAGCGACGCCAUUUUGGUGUUGAAUUCAUCACCGCCCUUCAUCUCUUUUGAUCCAACGGUUUGGAACUCAAUAGCCUCCCCCCUUAAAAAUUUCCUAACAGACCCCCUACCCCCCAAAGACCUCUCAAACACUCUUCCCGUCUCUCUCAUUCUCCACCCAAAGUCGGCGCCGAAAAUCGCCCACGGCGGCGAGCCACCUCCAAACCAUCAUGAAUUAUUACCCUAUAAUCCUCUCACCCUUCUUAUUUUUUAAUCUCUAGUCCAUCUCUCCUAAAAACUCUUCAAUUACGUUGUUUAGUAAAUCUAGAAAUUUCGGACUUGAAACCUACGUUAAUUGGUUUCUCUUGAUGAGUGUAAUUGAUUGACGUAAGUUAUGGUUCAUUUUAUGGCCACAGGUAUCAUAUCAAAUCCCGUUGACUGGCAAGUUUCCUCUCCAAUUGCUCUAUUUUUGUUGCUCCGAUUGGUUCAAGUCCAAUAUAUUUUUGUACUGGUUCGGGUUGAUCGAGAGUUUAGCUGUUGGACCCGCUAUCCGGAGACUUAAGGUAGAUCUGUCGGUGUUCACAGACCUUGAAGUCCAUGUCUAUCUUUUCUAUUUUACUGUUUCUUUCAUUCAAACAGUUGUACUUCUCUCAGACUAUUACUUGUAGUAAAUUCUAGAAUGCUCGUGAAUUAUGACACCAGAUCCGGGAAGUGGUAAAUGAUAAAGUUGUUAUAAUAUUCCGCACU
Molecule: long non-coding RNA, 820 nt
Organism: Nicotiana tabacum (common tobacco)
Lineage: Eukaryota; Viridiplantae; Streptophyta; Magnoliopsida; Solanales; Solanaceae
Source: RefSeq, a predicted model, not a curated record